Molecule: ribosomal RNA, 253 nt
Filed under: uncultured bacterium
Lineage: Bacteria
Description: partial 16S ribosomal RNA
Rfam family: Bacterial small subunit ribosomal RNA
Source: RNAcentral
GACAGAGGGUGCGAACGUUGCUCGGAAUCAUUGGGCGUAAAGCGCGUGUAGGCGGCAUCGCACGUCGGGUGUGAAAGCCCGGGGCUCAACCCCGGCAGUGCACCCGAAACGACGAUGCUAGAGUGCUGGAGAGGCGGGUGGAAUUCCUGGUGUAGAGGUGAAAUUCGUAGAUAUCAGGAGGAACACCGGUGGCGAAGGCGACCCGCUGGCCAGCGACUGACGCUGAGACGCGAAAGCGUGGGGAGCAAACAGG